Molecule: long non-coding RNA, 3623 nt
Organism: Hordeum vulgare subsp. vulgare (domesticated barley)
Lineage: Eukaryota; Viridiplantae; Streptophyta; Magnoliopsida; Poales; Poaceae
Exons: 9
Source: RefSeq, a predicted model, not a curated record
GCUCCCUGCGCGCCGCGCCCCGCUCGCCCACCGCACGUGCAGUUGCCCAGUGCGGGUGCCGCGGCGUGGCCAUCGCCAACUCACGGGAAGUCUUCUCCAUAGACGUCAUCGACUACGCCGUUGGCUUGCUGCUCGACGUACUCUGGCGCGUGUCUGCGGCAGAGCGGUAUGUCUAGCACGGGUCCUGGCUGGUGCAGGGCGACCAUCCCCUCGGGUCCAAGGAUUAGUGGAGCGUACUUGUUUAAAGACCCGAUGAACACGCCUGGUCAUGGGAAUGCAAAUCUCAUGAGUGAAAAUCCGCGCGAACGAAAAUUGAAGGGUGUUCAAAGUUGGUAUGCCUGAGUGUCCGAUGAGAAAAGAGCGGAAUACAACCAGAAGCAGCUUACAACCCGGUCAGAAAAGGAGGCCCUAUAUAGGAUCUUUACUUGGGAGAUAAGGAGGAGAAAAAGCAGAGCUCCUCUUCACAGGAUAGGAUCAGGGGAGCGUACUUGUUUAAAGACCCGAUGAACACGCCUGGUCAUCGGAAUGCAAAUCUCACGAGUGAAAAUCUGCAAGGACAAAAAUUGAAGGGUGUUCAAAGUUGGUAUGCCUGAGUGUCCGAUGAGAAAAGAGUAGAAUACAACCAGAACCGGCUUACAACCCUGUCAGAAAAGGAGGCCCUAUAUAGGAUCUUUACUUGGGAGAUAAGGAGGAGAAAAAUCAGAGGUCCUCUUCACAAGAUAGACCUUUUAUGUGUCAUGUCGACAAUGGUGUUUGAUAAGAAGUCCAAGCAGGCUGCAUAUCAGGUGAAUCAAGGAAGUUGGUACGAUAUGCAGCCUUCAAAGCAUAGAUUAUAUACUCACAAGUUCUUAGCAACCAUGGCUCCACCCACAACCUGAGGAGGCGGCUGCACCGACAACCUGCUUUCCCUCGAUUUGUUCAGUGAGCACUGUUAUCUUAUUCUCCUUACUCUUACUAUCAUGAGUGGGUUUGGAAUUUGGGUUUUUUAGUUCUCGCGUUUGGACCAAAUGACUGCGCAUUGACAUCAAUACUAAGGAGAAGUAUUGGAACACAAGUUGACAAUGAAGGAAUUAUUGUGAUGGAUAUCAGAAGUUACUCGCAUUGACUAUAACUGUAGAAGUUACAUUCAGUCAUGGAGAAAUGAGUUUUUUAAAUAUCAAAUAGGACUGUCAACUUAUAUUAUUUGACUGGAUAAAUGGGGAUGUGAAUCACUUCAAAUUGACUGCAAUAAUGACCCUUUGUUCACAGGACAAAUGAAUAUGUAGGUUACGUUGCUUGUACUUUUUUAUUAAUUAGUUCAAAGAGUCAUUGACUGUAUCAUCACACUGACACAGAAGACAACCAGAUAUUUAAGUCAAUUUAAGUAGAGUACCCAGGUCUGUGUGUUGUCAUCAAUUUAAGUGAAUUGCUAUGCUAGAAGUGGACAUGUUUCUAUGCUUAUCUGAAUUUUAACCGUUACCAAGUGCUUGAGGUUGUGAGGGUUCCAGUCAGGUUUUCAGAAAAGCAUUUGGGGUGCUAUGCUAGAGCACUGUUUUCAGAAAAGCACUUAAUUGAUCUCUAGCUUUUUUCACAAGACCACCACCGGUGAAUGAUUGCAGAAUUUUUCAUGUCAUUAUACACCAUUAUUUUUUUCUUUGGUACGACUGUUUGCGCUACUAAAAUCUUCAUUUCUUCUCAGGAUAGCAAAGUUUGUAUGUGUACUUAUAUUUGCUUGUACUGAGCGAUGCUACUUUUACGAGAGCAUGUCAUAAUUAAAUUUCAGUUUGAAGUAAUAAUUAUAUCUUCAUGUCAUGUUCUCUGUCAUCUCUCACCAUUGUGUUGCAAACCACACAUGACGAGCAAUUUUAAGAACCACCACCGUUUUAGUGUGAACGUAGAAUAAAUAUAGUAUGCCUGUUUAAAAUCUUCCAUUGAAUGUAUGGAAAUAUAAAGUAUCAAUAAUGUUCUAUUUCUGAAAGGAUUUUUUUAGUAUCAGGUAUAAAAAAUAGCAGACAUAUUUCGCAAUACUUACGGUGCAUAGCUGGUUAAUCUAUUCAGAAAGGGGAGAAUCAUAAGGAGUUGUUGCACUUUAAAGCUUUUUCCUCGGUUUCUUGUUUUGCUCAUUUCUGUUGACUUUUGUAUGGCCAAAGCAGGAGCUUGGAUGAUGUUAGGUUGAAUCUCGAGUUUCUUAAGUACUUGUGAUGAAUACCAUGCCAUUUUGUAUUUGUACAACUUUCAUGGAGGGAGUGCAACAUAUCUAGGACUCACCAUGACGACGUGCAUUCUAAAAAAAGCAUAAUCAAAUUCCUAUAACUUAAGAAAUAAGAUCCCUUUACGACUAGCGGAACAAUGGAAUUGACUGUACACAAUCUUUCUUUCAUCGCAAUUAUCCAUGCUGAUAAAGUAUUCGUCCUUCAUGUUUUGAAGAAUAGUUCAGUUGAAUGUACAAAGUCGGUAACCUCAUGAUGAAAAGGAAUAACCUGGGAUGGUAAAGGAGACUAGCUUAGUCCAUUCCUUUUGCUUUGCUUACUAAUGAUGCCCGAAGAUGCAAAAUACUAAUUAUUUGACCGUAUAUUUUCAAGAAAAUUCUUUUUUUCAUUAUGUAUACUUAUGUUUGAGACGUGUGUUAUUAAAUAGAAUCUUCAUUCGGAAUGUAGCUACUAAUGUUUACACAUAUUUCUUUACAAGUUUAGGGUUUCAAAUAAACUUAAUGUUGAUCUUUUUUAAGAUUAUAUUACACAUGCGUUGCAUGUGCACAAUUACUAGUCUAAUAGAAAUUUGUCACAUCAGCCUGACCGGUGGGCUCCACCUCGCAUAAACGGGCUUAGUCGAGGCAAAUCCAUCGACCAGUGUUAUUUGCAAAAGAAUUACAAUAGCCACAACGUUUUCAAUAACAAAAAUAUAACACGGUGUUUUCUGCAAACCUUGCCUUCAACGUGAAGCUUUUAUGUAAUUUAUGUUAGAAAGUAAUUAGUAGAUUAAUUAGCAAAGGGAUGUGUCCAACCCCGAACAGUCGUGUCUCUUCUCUCUCUAUUGCCAACACACGUGUUCUGAAGGGAUGCCUCCGAAUAGACACCUCUUCUUCGCACCUCUUGCACAUGUAUAUAUACUUGAGAAUCAAUAAAAACAUGACUAAUCGUCAAUUCACUUUCAUUCAAUCUCGUUUUACUCUAACACGUUAUCAGCACGCUCUCGAGUGGAGCGAUUUUACAAUAGGUCUGGUAUUCAAGCAAAAAUGGCCAAAGGCGAACGACUUCUGCGUGACGCGAAGCAGCUGUAGCGACCGCGGCAUGCUGGUGCGGUACUCCGCGUACUCCGUCGGCUGGAUCAAGGCACGGGGCGGCUUCAUGAUUCGGGGAGUGAUUACAGCAAGGCUGGCUGUGGCAGAACGGCAUGCAUGCAUGCAUCAGGAAAUCAGUUGGCAAAUGCAAAUCUGUUGUCUCCUUGUGAUUAAGAGCGGUAGUCCGAUCUGGCAAAACCAUGAACGGCUUCAUCCUUGGCAAGAGCUGCAAGAGGCUAACAACGCAGCGACAUGCAUCGGCAACCCAUGAUGCAUGCAUGCAUUUGUACAGGAAAUUAAUCAUCAGAAUGUUUAUUCGGUUUGUCUUCUUGUGAUUAAGAGAAAUCUCAUCCAUUCUACCUUA